Molecule: transfer RNA, 71 nt
Filed under: Duganella vulcania
Lineage: Bacteria; Pseudomonadati; Pseudomonadota; Betaproteobacteria; Burkholderiales; Oxalobacteraceae
Description: tRNA-Asn
Source: RNAcentral
CCCAUAGCGUUGCCGUGAGCCCCGUUCUGUUAAUCCGUAGGUCCCUGGUUCGAGUCCAGGUCGGGGAGCCA